UGGGGGAUAUUGCACAAUGGGCGAACGCCUGAUGCAGCGACGCCGCGUUGGGGAUGAAGGCCUUCGGGUUGUAAACUUCUUUUUCUCUGAACAAGGCAUGCUCAUGGGUGUGGCGCGUGCAGGGGUUGAUUAGCGCCGGCUAACUACGUGCCAGCAGCCGCGGUAAUACGUAGGGCGCGAGCGUUGUCCGGUAUUAUUGGGCGUAAAGGGGUUCUAGGUGGCUGGUUGCGUCUGUCGUCAACGCCCAUGGCUUAACAGUGGGGUUGCGGUGGGUACGGGCUGGCUUGAGUGGAGUGGGGGAGGCUGGAAUUCCUGGUGUAGCGGUGGUAUGCGCAGAUAUCAGGAGGAAUACCGGUGGCGAGGGCGGGUCUCUGGGCUGUUACUAUCACUGAGGAGCGAAAGAAUGGGGAGCGAACAGG
RNAcentral lists this ribosomal RNA (419 nucleotides) under bacterium. RNAcentral describes it as "partial 16S ribosomal RNA". It matches the Rfam family "Bacterial small subunit ribosomal RNA", at positions 355 to 776 of the family's 1533-position model. The record is from RNAcentral.